This 329-nucleotide unclassified non-coding RNA is filed under the name uncultured Glomeromycetes. Its description in RNAcentral is "sequence contains ITS1". The stretch from base 1 to 105 matches the Rfam family "5.8S ribosomal RNA", at positions 50 to 154 of the family's 154-position model. Lineage: Eukaryota; Fungi; Glomeromycota; Glomeromycetes. The record is from RNAcentral.
GAAAUGCGAUACGUAGUGUGAAUUGCAGAAUUCCGUGAAUCAUCGAAUCUUUGAACGUAAAUUACACUUUCCAGUAUUCUGGGGAGUAUGCCUGGUUGAGGGUCAUUCAAUAAACAUCGUGUAUAUAAUUUAUUUGUGUACGCGGAAUUGAGUUUUCCAAUAUUUAUGUUGGUGACUUUAAAAUAAUUUUUUUUCAAGUUGAAAACGUACUAUAAUAGUUUGUUGACAACUUGGAUCCUUACACGUGUUCUGUUCGUUUUAAAUAAUGGAUGUUCAAGUGUAUUUUUUUUUGUGACCUCAACUCAAGCAAGAUUACCCGCUGAACUUAA